This 939-nucleotide ribosomal RNA is filed under the name uncultured archaeon. RNAcentral's name for it is "bacterial SSU rRNA". It matches the Rfam family "Archaeal small subunit ribosomal RNA", at positions 1 to 922 of the family's 1478-position model. The record is from RNAcentral.
UUCCGGUUGAUCCCGCCGGACCUGACUGCUAUCGGAACGGGACUAAGCCAUGCGAGUCUGCCAGUCUAAGCACGUUGGCUGGCGGCGAACGGCUCAGUAACACGUAGUCAACCUGCCCUCGGGUCGAGAACAAUCUCGGGAAACUGAGGCUAAUUCUCGAUAGAUCAAGAUUCCUGGAAUGGGUUUUGGUCGAAACGGCGUAACAGCAUCUUGUUAUUUUCGCCCGUGGAUGGGACUGCGGCCGAUCAGGCUGUUGGUGAGGUAAAGGCUCACCAAACCAGUAACCGGUACGGGCUUUGAGAGAAGGAGCCCGGAGAUGGACACUGAGACAAGGGUCCAGGUCCUACGGGGCGCAGCAGGCGCGAAACCUUCGCAAUGCGCGAAAGCGCGACGAGGUUAUUCCGAGUGAUCUCCGCUGAGGAGAUCUUUUCUCAGAUCUAAAAUGUCUGGGGAAUAAGGGGAGGGCAAGUCUGGUGUCAGCCGCCGCGGUAAUACCAGCUCCUCGAGUGGUCAGGGCGUUUAUUGGGCCUAAAGCAUCCGUAGCCGGCUCAGUAGGUCUCCUGUUAAAUCCAACGGCUCAACUGUUGGUCUGCAGGAGAUACCACUGGGCUAGGAGGCGGGAGAGGCGGACGGUACUCCGAGGGUAGGGGUAAAAUCCUUUGAUCCCCGGAAGACCACCAGUGGCGAAGGCGGUCCGCCAGAACGCGCUCGACGGUGAGGGAUGAAAGCUGGGGGAGCGAACCGGAUUAGAUACCCGGGUAGUCCCAGCUGUAAACGAUGCGAGCUAGGUGACACAAGGCCUUCGGGGCCUUGUGGUGCCGCAGGGAAGCCGUUAAGCUCGCCGCCUGGGGAGUACGGACGCAAGUCUGAAACUUAAAGGAAUUGGCGGGGGAGCACCACAAGGGUGAAGCCUGCGGUUCAAUUGGAUUCAACGCCGGA